CUUUACUAUAACUUGACAUUGACUUUGGGCUCCUUUUGCGCAGUCUAGGUGGGAGGCUAUGAUAUCUUGUUUCCGGGCAAGAUGGAGCCGUUUUUGAGAGACCACUCUGAAAGAGCUAAAAUUCUAAUAGUGAUCCUUGAAUCAGGACACUUGACAGUGUCAGGCGGGUAGUUUUUCUGGGGCGGAAUCCUCCUAAAAAGUAACGGAGGUGCGCAAAGGUUCCCUCAGGCUGGACGGAAAUCAGCUGUAGAGUGUAAAGGCAUAAGGGAGCUUGACUGCAAGACCUACAAGUCGAGCAGGGGCGAAAGCCGGCCUUAGUGAUCCGACGGUACCGCGUGGAAGGGCCGUCGCUCAACGGAUAAAAGUUA
RNAcentral lists this ribosomal RNA (368 nucleotides) under uncultured organism. RNAcentral describes it as "bacterial LSU rRNA". It matches the Rfam family "Bacterial large subunit ribosomal RNA", at positions 2099 to 2465 of the family's 2925-position model. The record is from RNAcentral.